This 492-nucleotide ribosomal RNA is filed under the name uncultured bacterium. Its description in RNAcentral is "partial 16S ribosomal RNA". It matches the Rfam family "Bacterial small subunit ribosomal RNA", at positions 29 to 507 of the family's 1533-position model. The record is from RNAcentral.
AGUGAACGCUGGCGGUAGGCCUAACACAUGCAAGUCGAACGGCAGCACAGUAAGAGCUUGCUCUUACGGGUGGCGAGUGGCGGACGGGUGAGGAAUACAUCGGAAUCUACUUUUUCGUGGGGGAUAACGUAGGGAAACUUACGCUAAUACCGCAUACGACCUACGGGUGAAAGCAGGGGAUCUUCGGACCUUGCGCGAUUGAAUGAGCCGAUGUCGGAUUAGCUAGUUGGCGGGGUAAAGGCCCACCAAGGCGACGAUCCGUAGCUGGUCUGAGAGGAUGAUCAGCCACACUGGAACGGAGACACGGUCCAGACUCCUACGGGAGGCAGCAGUGGGGAAUAUUGGACAAUGGUCGCAAGCCUGAUCCAGCCAUACCGCGUGGGUGAAGAAGGCCUUCGGGUUGUAAAGCCCUUUUGUUGGUAAAGAAAAGCAGCAGGUUAAUACCCCGCUGUUCUGACGGUACCCAAAGAAUAAGCACCGGCUAACUUCGUG